This 154-nucleotide non-coding RNA is filed under the name Methylocella tundrae. RNAcentral describes it as "6S". It matches the Rfam family "6S / SsrS RNA". Rfam says of the family: E. coli 6S RNA was the first non coding RNA to be sequenced, but its function was unknown until recently. Lineage: Bacteria; Pseudomonadati; Pseudomonadota; Alphaproteobacteria; Hyphomicrobiales; Beijerinckiaceae. The record is from RNAcentral.
GCGGAGCUGCGGGGUGCGUGCUGGAUCAGUAACCCGGGGCCUUAUCGAUCUCAAAGGGAGCUGUCCCUGGCCUUGCCCGUGGGCUUGGCCACAUGGCGCCCACCUACGUUGUAGGUUCCCGGGAUCGAUAUCCCACGGCCAUCGCGGCCCCGCA